UAGGGUUUGAUUAUGGCUCAGAUUGAACGCUGGCGGCAGGCCUAACACAUGCAAGUCGAGCGAGAAAGUACUUCGGUACGAGUAAAGCGGCGGACGGGUGAGUAACGCGUAGGAAUCUACCUGGUAGUGGGGGACAACAUGUGGAAACGCAUGCUAAUACCGCAUGCGACCUAAGGGUGAAAGUGGGGGACCUUCGGGCCUCACGCUAUCGGAUGAGCCUGCGUAAGAUUAGCUAGUUGGUGAGGUAAGAGCUCACCAAGGCGACGAUCUUUAGCUGGUCUGAGAGGAUGAUCAGCCACACUGGGACUGAGACACGGCCCAGACUCCUACGGGAGGCAGCAGUGGGGAAUAUUGCGCAAUGGAGGAAACUCUGACGCAGCCAUGCCGCGUGUGUGAAGAAGGCCUUAGGGUUGUAAAGCACUUUCAAUUGGGAAGAAAGGUUGUACGUUAAUAGCGUGCAGCUGUGACAUUACCUUUAGAAGAAGCACCGGCUAACUCCGUGCCAGCCGCCGCGGUAAUACA
RNAcentral lists this ribosomal RNA (522 nucleotides) under uncultured OM60 clade bacterium. Its description in RNAcentral is "bacterial SSU rRNA". It matches the Rfam family "Bacterial small subunit ribosomal RNA", at positions 1 to 527 of the family's 1533-position model. The record is from RNAcentral. Lineage: Bacteria; Pseudomonadati; Pseudomonadota; Gammaproteobacteria; Cellvibrionales; Halieaceae.